RNAcentral lists this unclassified non-coding RNA (224 nucleotides) under Hevea brasiliensis (rubber tree). The record is from RNAcentral. Lineage: Eukaryota; Viridiplantae; Streptophyta; Magnoliopsida; Malpighiales; Euphorbiaceae.
CUGAAUCGCCUCGAUCGGACGUCGAAUGAAACCGGAAUUGCGUCUGAAAGUUACUGCUCACUGUGCGCGCGUUGAUGAGGAAAACUGCUCCAUUUGCGUCACUGCCGGCACUGCUCCGGCCAGCUGGCAGUUCGCCGGUGUCGCCCAUGGUGGGUGGACGCCUCACCGGCUGGCCAUGAUGGCUGCAGGCUCGUUGAUCAAAAGAAAAAGGGAGGGGGAGGGAG